Gavialis gangeticus (Gharial) is the source of this 930-nucleotide long non-coding RNA. RefSeq lists it as uncharacterized. The record is from RefSeq and is a predicted model, not a curated record. The transcript has 2 exons. Lineage: Eukaryota; Metazoa; Chordata; Crocodylia; Gavialidae.
UCCCUUUGCUUUUUCUUGCUGCUGCUUCUGCUGAAGACUGGAACCUUCCCCACUUCCAAAUGCACGACAAGUUUGACAAACAUUUUGUCUAUGACAUUUUGUUUUGCUGGAUCUUCCGCCUAUGCUGCAGUGUAUUCUGCUCACAGAGCCCUGAGUUUGAUGACCUCCGGUGGUGUCUUGAUGGUGUGAACCAAUGGUAACGGGCGAUUUAAGCUGUAUGUGCUUAAAAACAGAAGGUCAGUGUAUAAAGGAUGAGCAUGGGUCUUGCUGUACAGUCUGCACUUGAUGUGCUGCCCUGCUGUCAUGGGUAGUAACUACUGAUCACGGAUUGCUUGGACUCCUAAGAAACCAGUGGUCAGUUGACCUCAGCAGAUGCCACCUCUCCAACCAUGACUGCUAAUGUAAACUCAAAGCAACGGCCAGUUGACCAACCCAAGUUGAUGCUGCUGUGUUGGCUGCAGCUGGUUGAUUCUGCAAAGCUGUAGAAGAUGGGCAUCAUUUGGAGUUGUGUGUGCCAAAGAGGUGGAUAAGCAAAGUCCAACGGGCUAGACCGUCCCCAACAACUCCCUUUGGCCAUCACAAGAAGCUGCACUGAUGGCCUCUGCUCCCCAGCGUUUUGUUGAUCACAGGGUGCGGGAUAUUUCUUGUAUGAGAGGAAAACCUGCUUCUUCUGCAACGGCACCCUAACAAAUAAUCAAGAAGUGCUGUGGAUCUUCUGAAUGUCUGGAGCUGGCCCCGCUAGGAGAACUCUGCCUCUGUAAAGCUUGAGGCUUGCCUGAACUCUAGCUACACCAGGAGGGACAAGAGCUUGCUAAAAAUAUGGGUGGACUUGGUUUUCCUGUGCACACAUGCUUGUAUCAUGUCUGAACAUGCAAAGAAUAUAAUUAGCUAUUCCCAAGGAAUCCAGUAAAUGGUGAAUCUGCAAACCAA